CUGUAGCAAUACAGGAGUGGCAGGACGGGUGAGUAACGCGUGGGAACCUUCCCAGUGGUACGGAAUAGCUCAGGGAAACUUGAGGUAAUACCGUAUAAGCCCCUAGGGGGAAAGAUUUAUCGCCAUUGGAUGGGCCCGCGUCGGAUUAGCUAGUUGGUGAGGUAAUGGCUCACCAAGGCGACGAUCCGUAGCUGGUUUGAGAGAAUGACCAGCCACACUGGGACUGAGACACGGCCCAGACUCCUACGGGAGGCAGCAGUGGGGAAUAUUGGACAAUGGGCGAAAGCCUGAUCCAGCCAUGCCGCGUGAGUGACGAAGGCCUUAGGGUUGUAAAGCUCUUUUGGCGGGGACGAUAAUGACGGUACCCGCAGAAUAAGUCCCGGCUAACUUCGUGCCAGCAGCCG
RNAcentral lists this ribosomal RNA (404 nucleotides) under uncultured bacterium. RNAcentral's name for it is "bacterial SSU rRNA". It matches the Rfam family "Bacterial small subunit ribosomal RNA", at positions 74 to 517 of the family's 1533-position model. The record is from RNAcentral.